Non-coding RNA from Asterophora parasitica, 98 nucleotides. The record is from the annotation of a GenBank genome assembly. Lineage: Eukaryota; Fungi; Basidiomycota; Agaricomycetes; Agaricales; Lyophyllaceae.
GGGCGUUUAGCGCAGUGGUAGCGCGUAUGCUUUGCAAGCCCAGUCAGUACGACCGAGCCAUGUGUAUAAGGUCCAGGGUUCAAUCCCCUGAACGUCCA